Molecule: long non-coding RNA, 39049 nt
Filed under: Sorghum bicolor (sorghum)
Lineage: Eukaryota; Viridiplantae; Streptophyta; Magnoliopsida; Poales; Poaceae
Description: long non-coding RNA (SBIC_LNC012358)
Rfam family: Plant small nucleolar RNA R71 (bases 32953-33059)
Source: RNAcentral
UGGGCCUUUCUUCUGUAUUUCCUGAUAACCCCCUGCAGAUAUAGACAAACACCAAAACUCGUGGAAUUCUGUCAGAUAAAACCCUAAGUCUAGGUGUUAGUUGCAUUUGGAUCUUUUUCCAUGAUUAGUUGAUGGUUAAAUGUGAGCAUUAAGGACCGUCAACAAGCUCCCCCAAGCUUAACCUUUGCUCGUCCCUGAGCAAAGAUGAACUCAAUAGUUUCUGCAGUGGUUUCAUUCCUUAAAGAUAUACAUGCAUUCAAACAAGAUCUCAUCUCUGGGUUAGGGUAAACUGUUAAGAUUUAAACUUACUCAUUUUACCUUCCACCAUGGGGCUUGCAACCGUCACUUGUGUCUUGAGUAGUUAAAGAUAGAACGGUCAAGUCAAGCGCCAUGUCUCUUGUUCUUCGAUUAACUAUAGCUCUAGAGUUUUUGCAGAUUUUCAAAUAAAACUCAGAGAUUCAUUGUAUGACUCUCUCUAGUCUCUCUUUUGUGGUAUUUCUAGAUCCUUACCAAGACAGUAACGGUGUAUGCCUUCUCUCAAAGUAUGUGGUAUUUUUGGUAUGAGGCAUAGUGACAUUGCCUUCUCUCUCACCCUACUUUAUUGCAUAGUCAAACCAUGGAUCUAGAAGAUCAAGUCAAUACGUCAAAUCAAGAUAUGCAUGUGUGGCGAAUGAAUGGUGAUAAUGGUGAAAAUAAUGGUGAAAGUCUAAUUCUACUUUUGCUCUUUUGAGGGGGUACAUACCUUUCUUGCUCUUUUGAAACUUUUUGAGGAGAAUGAGAUGCUCUAUAUUUUCUUUUUCUUUUCUCUCAGGCGGGUAUCUUGUACCCCUAAUUCUACUGUCAGACACUUGUCCAUUUUUACCUCUCGUCUCAGUUUUUUUUUCUUUCGAGGUUUCGUGCACUUUCCCCUUUUUAUUUCCUCGUAUUUUUUUUAGAACACUCAUCUCUUGAAAUAAUAUAGCAAGUGGUAGUAACCAAGAUAACUUGAGCAUUUAUUUCACAGGGGAAAACAGAAAUAUUUUUGGCUAUUCUCUCCCGGAUUAGGAGUAGAAUAUUUUUAGGUGAUUCUGGAGAUGGAAAUGGGUGGAUAUAUGUGGAUGUGUACUUCCGGAGUAGAAGCAGCAUGUAUGAGUGAACGUGCAAGUGAAUCUUGAUUUAACCACAUGACAAGCUCCUAAGGGUCUACACAGCUUGACCACACUCAAUGCUCAUAAGCAGUAAAAGGUAAAUGUGUGGCUCAAAGUCUAGCAAGCAUGUAUAUAUGGCUGUGAUAGGAAUUUAAACUCUCAUCAUACAGGAACUCAACAUGUGUUAUUUUAAAGAUUUUUCAAAGAUAAAAUUCUCCAGAAUUCUAGCAUCUCUAGGAACAGAUAAACAACAGCUCAACCUUCCCAUAUCAUAUCCGUUAACGACUUAGACAUUAGAUCAUGUACUCUUCCCACAAGUUCAGGUUUAGAGCAAAUCUUAAUUAAUAACAGUCAUGCCUAAACUUGAGAGAGAUUUCAAUUUUAAGAACUAGUUAUGGCAGAGCAACUAUUCAUCAUUUCCAUGUGAGAGCUUAUCCUGAGGGUUCAUAGCAAACUUUAUUUAUUUAUUUAUUUAGCAAACUAAGCAAAGAUAUAUAUAUAUAUAAGCACAAAAUCUUUAUUUGGGUUUUUAUGAUUAUGCAUCUUUUCAUUAUUUGAGUAAAGUAUAAACGUGAGUGGAAUACUUAGCUGGAUAAAUGGGGUUGCUCUCCCCCAAGCUGGGUUUUGACGUAAUUCCUUCUGAUGUAGCUAGCAGGUGGUGGAGGUCUAUUUGAAUAUUGGCAGUACCCUGAUAGUGAUUAGGAUGUUCUCCGUCUGCUAGUCUUCUUUGAUCCUUGAAUUCUGUGGAGCUCAAAUAGACAACAAAGCUUUGUGGAACUAGUUAAGUGUUAGCAUAAAUAUCUAGCCUUUAUCAUGUUGAGCCUCCUCAAUAAAUAUUACUUUCUUUGGUAGGAUCAUAAAUUUAUUUUUAUAUUUUCAUUUUUAUAGGACAGGAAUAUAUUUAUUUUAUUUUUACGCCACCACAGUGAAUGUACUUAUGGGUUUUAUGCCAUGAGCAUACUCUCAUGGGGCUUACUAUUUUUAACAUUUUUAUUUUCUUUUCAUGAUGAUAUGAACCUGAUUAACUCAGCAAACUAUUUUAAAAUAAUUGAAAGGAAAAAGAUAAUUACCAAGUUUACCUCUUGGCAAGGCGUUCGGUGUUUUUAAGUCAUCCGAACGGGACUCUCCGUUUUCUCAGUCGUCCUGGGAUUCGCUGGAUGGCGUAGUCGAUGGUUCCGGCAGAGCCUGCUCUUCGUGUAUAACUAUCUUCUCUCUCCACACCUGACUCGGUGCUACGGUCUCCUUAGGAUAGUUCUGUUCAAGCUGUAUGUCUUCAGACAUUACCACUUCUCCUUCGUAGUCCGCCCAUCCAUCCUUGAUGAUUUGCCUUCUCUGGUUGCGGUUGUGUCGUCUUCUUCUUGUUCUGACAUGCUUAGAGUCUUCAACUAUAUAGUUAGGGUCAGUAAAGCAGCGACGUACCUUCUCAGAGGUGAAGUGCAUGUGGACUUCUCUAGUUCCAAUGUAGAUGAUUGCUUUAACGGUGCUGAGAAACGGUCUUCCAAGGAUGAUGGGUGGAUUGUACUCGUCUUCUCCCAUGUCAAUAACCUUCAACCUUUCGGAAUGUCUGAUCUGCCAUCUGGAGCUGAAUGUAUGUCGGUUUUAGUCAGGAACGGUGACUUAAAUCAAUGAUCUUGACCUCCUUGAACUGCAGUGACCAUCUUAGCUAACUCGGUCCACAUUUGCUUGUUCCUGUUCCUCCUGUUGGUCCAUUCCGUGGUUCAUGUCAGGAUUCCUCUAUGAUUUGUGUAGUCUUGUUCUUGAAGGAAAACGUCUCCUUCCUCCCCUUGAUGUAGAAAUGGAUUUUAGCAGCACUAGCGUAGAUGACAGCUCCUGAGGUGUUCAGGAAUGGUCUCCCUAGGAUGAUGGAUGCCAUCUCAUCAGUACCAGUCUCUAUCACCACGAAGUCUGCUGGGGCUUACAAGGUACCAACUCGGACGUAGAGGUUCUUCAAUAUUCCCUUUGAGAAACUUAGCGUACGAUCUACAGGCUGCAAACACAUGGCUAUUUCUAAUAAAGGACGUGUAAAGAAUUUUUCAUAGAGUACCCUGGGCAUAAUGUUGACGUUGGAGCCAAAGUCGCAGAGUGCUUCUGGGAAGUCCACCAUUGACGAUGGAGAUCGGGAUGACGGGGCGUCCUGGAUUGUCUCUCUUGACCGGCAGAAGGUCAGUAAUUACUUCCACAAUGGGGUUACUCCAGUAGUUACGUCCUCAAGCAUCUCAGGGCAGUGAUUGCUUGAGUGUCCAGUAUCUCCAGUGUGUUUGUGCUCGUAGAUCUAGGUUCUUCACUUGGUGGAGUCUGGGAGUUUGUAAAAGUCCUUCAUAUUUUGCUCGAAGUGUACCUGCUCAUAGAGAUAAGGCAGAGAUCAAGUGCAUGGGCCCUGUUGGUGGAAAACACCAACAGAACCAAAAGUGUAUUUGUUCUCUCUAACCUUAAGCAUAGUGAGCAAGACAAAGUUGAUGGAUAAUAAGAUCAUGAGUGUAACAUUUAAAACAUUUGUCAGAUCAGAUCGCUCAACCUAAUGGAAAGAUAAUCUAUCUAUAUUUAUGUUUUGUUUAUAUCUUCCAAAGAUUGAAUGUGCAACUUUUUCGCUUAUAUGAUUAGGAGUGUGGAAUCACAAAGGUGGAAGGACUAAACAUGUUGAAUCGAUUCGGUUGGUUAAUCUAGAGUUAUAAAUCAUACAUGUUUGUCUCUUUUAUUCAUGUGAACGCCAGAACAAAGGAGAAGCUUAUAAAAGUGAUAGUCAAGUAUCUUAAGAUGUUACCUUACUUGAAGAGUGAUGAUACAGUAUCACCUUGCGGAAGCUUUCCUUUCUUAGCGGUUAUGCAUCGUGUUUGUGGCACCCUCCAUGGAUCAUCUCUUGUGAGCUAUGCCUUCCUUGUGUAAAUUGUUAAACUUCAUGUGUCUCUCUCUUUGUCUCCAAUGUGAGUUUAUCUCAGGACUUCCUAGGUCGAUAUUGAAAGUUUUCCUGCAGGGGUUAGUCCAACAAAACAUCCAAUAUCUACUAUAGCAUACUAUCGGCUCAAAAUCAACCUAGACACCAUGUCUAAUUUGAUUUAGGAGGGCAUUUUAACCUAAGCAUCAUGCUUAAUUUAAAAUCCUUUGGAAGUAAGAUCAUCAUUCCUAAACUAAGCACCAUGCUUAAUUAAGAGAUAAAUGAAACUAAUCCAAACCUAGACAUAUACUAAAGCAAAUAAAGGUAGCAUGAGAGCAUUUAUAGAGAUCUACUCAAGUGGAGAUGAAGUAGUGUGAUUAGUAUUUAACAAGUUGAGCAUGUCUCAAAGGUAGGGACAACCAACAUAGCAACAUGGCAAAGAAUGUUUUUAUGUAAAGUACUCCCCCAAGCUUGAAUUUUGCAAAAUUCAAGUUUGGGUGAAUUUAAUUCAAUGUUGUAUGAUGAUUGGUUGGACAUACCUUGUGCUUGUCAUUCAUCCAAUCUUCUUGCUCCAAUCCUGGAAAGGUUAGUGACAAGAAUACCCGAAGGAUUUUUUUUACAAUUAUCCUUAUAUGCUCAAUACACAGGGUAAUGUUGCAAAUAAUUAAAAGCUCAUGUUACGAUCUGAUCAGUGCUUGUUUUAGGACACUAAGCUUGUCCUUAGGAAACCAUCAAUUUAUGUCGGCGAAGUGGUUUCCCCUCCAACGCUGACCUAUAUAGAGAUCAACUCAACGAGAUCUACAAUAUUUAAUAUAGACAUAUGCAUCGACAACUGCCCUUUUAAAGUUUUCAUAAAUAGAAAGGAUGAGGGGGUUGGAGAUCUCGAUUGUGGUGAUGUUGGAGAGACCAAAAGAUUGGGAAGAUGUUGCAUAUGAGCAUGGAGUAAAUGAAGUGGCUAUGAAAUAAAUUCCAUGCUCAUUAAUGCUUGGAGUGAAAUCCAUGUGGUGUGGUGAAAAUGGUAAGGUGAGUGUGGUAAAAAAGGAAAAGAAAAAGGAUACACAGACGACUUGGUUCGAAACUAGCACACCUACCGUUCCCCGGCAACGGCGCUAGAAAGCUUGUUGGGUAUUCCAAUGUAGCCUUCACCCGGGAGUAUUCCAGAGUAUCGAUUUUCCACAGGGAACGUGAGUGUACUAAAUAAGCACAAAUUGGAACUGGUAUGAGCGACCUCUGUCAAACCCUCAAAUUUUCACAAAUAUUUAGCCUUAGACAUAGUAGUUUUUAUGAAAGUAGUCAAGUGAAAGCACCAAGGAGCAUCGUGUGGCCAUAAAGCUAGGGGUUUAAAUCAAAAUGAGCUUUGAAUGCUCCCCCUAUCUAUGGACGAACACAGUGGAUGCUCAAAGCACAACUAGAAAGAAACGAUCAACCAACAAGCAUGCAUAUGAUAUGAGGUGCAAUGCAAUACUUGAAAGUAAACUAAUGCUUGUCAAGUUUGAUCCAAGGUUAAGCUUUUUCACACACACAAGGGGGUUAUCUUAACCAUGUUAGACAAGCCCUACAUACAAUCUUUUUGUAUUUUUAGUUUGGGUAUGCAUGAUAUGCAAAACAAGAGCUAUUUACAAGGUCAACACACAACUUCAUUUUUUAGUGAAGUUAGAGAGAUCAAGCACAUUAAGUUCAUUUCUCAACAUACAAAACCUAGCUUCAUCUAUAGGUUUUGUGAAGAUAUCUGGCAAUUGAUUCUCCAUUCCCACAUUCUCUAGGGAUAUAUCACCUUUAGCAACAUGAUCCCUAAGGAAGUGAUGGCGGAUGUCAAUGUGUUUUGUGUGGGUGUGUUGAACCGGGUUGUUUGCAAGUUUUACGGCACUUUCAUUGUCACACAACAAAGGUACUUUGUCUAGUACUACUUCAUAGUCUAGCAAAGUUUGUUUCAUAUAAAGUAUUUGUGCACAACAAGCACCCGUGCCAAUGUAUUCCGCCUCGGCCGUUGACAAGGCAACAUAAUUUUGUUUCUUUGACAUCCAAGAGACAAGAGAUCUACCUAGGAAGUGGCACCCUCCGGAUGUGCUUUUUCUAUCAAUGCGUCACCCGGCAUAAUCCGAAUCCGAAUAGCCUACAAGUUGGAAUCUUGCACCUUUGGGAUACCACAAGCCUAGGCAAGGUGUGUAUUUUAGGUACCUAAGAAUUCUCUUGACGGAAAUCAAGUGAGGUUCCAUAGGCAUAGCUUGAUAUCUAGCACACAUACACACACUAAACAUGAUAUCGGGCCUAAAUGCGGUGAGGUAGAGUAGACUUCCUAUCAUGGAACGAUAGAGAGUCUUGUCAAUUGGGUUACCUCCGUCAUCCAAGUCAAGAUGCCCAUUUGAUGCCUAUUGGGUAUUUUAUACACAAACAGAAAAAUCCGCAAGCGCACGGAUACCGAUGUAGCCUUCACCCGGGAGUAUUCCAGAGUAUCGAUUUUCCACAGGGAAUGUGAGUGUACUAAUUAAGAUCCAAGAUCGCCCAAGGAUAACUAUAUAAUUAUUUUUGGUGGGAAGAGAGGAAGUUUCCUGAGAGUUCUCUAGUUGAUCUAAGAAUCAAGAAUUACUUCAAGGUUAUCUAUAUCGGAACAUGAGAGCACUAACCACAGAAAGAGAUGAGAAGGGGGCUAGGAAGGUCUGACUAUGGUCCUACAAACACCGAUCCGAACGAGGUGGAAUAUGUCGACCGUUAGGGCUGUCACUACCCUACGGCUACCACAACAAUCCGCAGGAUUGGGUGCAAUUCCAGGUAAUUGCAAGACUAAACACCACGUCUAAUCUAUUAAUUACUACUCUAGCGUUAUAAAGACUAGAGCACUUGAUGCAAGCGGGAAUCCAAUAAAUAACUUGAAUGUAAAUAAAAGUAAUUAGAGAACUCAGGAAUUAUGAAUUGAAGAACCUGGAGAACGAUGAAGAACGAACCAGUUGCUGCAAAAGUACAAUGUUGAGGAAGAUCCGACAGAUCCGGCUCCUCCUCCGCUCUCCUCUUCUCUCUCCCUAUUUUCUAGAUUACAAGUAGAACUAACUAGAACUAGAACUAGAGGAACUAGAACUAGAACUAGAUGAACUAGAACUAGAUCUAGAUGAACUAGAGGUAGAACUAGAAGAACUAGAGGGAUCCUCUCUACUUGGAUGAAGAAUUGAAACCCUAACUUUGAUUCUGUAGAAGAGGUAUGAUCUCCAGGGGCCAGGGGGCCUUGCUUAUAUAGUCUUUUCAAAUGAAUCUGGGUCGUCGGAUCAAACCGACAUUAAUCGCACGGUUUUCCUUGGUCCUUUAGGUCGGUGGAGCGUGAUCCCCGAAUUGGACUCUGUUUGAGCACUGUAGCAGGGCGGGCGCCCUCAGGACUUGGGCGGGUGUGGGGGCAUAAACCCCUAUACCCUUACAGCUAGACUUGGGCCAGGAGGCUUGGCCCAUUAUGAGACAAGUUCGAGGUCUUGAUCCGACUGCUCAAGGAAACAAGACGUGGAAAUCAAGCAGGAUUCUAGUCGGUUAGAAUAGAAAUUGAUAUCGAACUAUCUAUGGCAAUUGUAACCGACUAGGAUUAGUUUCCAGAUCUGUAACCCUGCCCCCCGGACUAUAUAAGGAGGGGCAAGGGACCCCCCUAGGAUAUAUCAUAUUCUCUCAACACAAAUCAAUACAACCAGACGCAGGACGUAGGUAUUACGCCAACUCGGCGGCCGAACCUGGAUAAAAAGCUUGUCCGUGUCUUGUGUCACCAUCGAGUUCAUAGUUUGCGCACCGUCUACCGAUAAACUACUACCGUGGGUAUACCCCAAGGUAGACUGCCGACCAGCUUUCGUCGACAGUGGCGCGCCAUGUUGGGGGUGUGCGUACAGCUCUCCCGACGAACAAGAUGGCCAUCAUCCCCGACUUCGCGGCCAUGGCGGGCGGCUUCGCGUUCACCGUCAGCUUCAACAACUUCACCACCACGACCGCGAAGGAGGCGUAGAUCCAAUCUGUGCCGAUCACUUCUUCACCGACGUCGGCUGCAGCUCCAACCACGCUGGCUACGGCUUCGACCACACCAGCAACGUCUCCGACCACGCCGACAACGCGUCGCACGUUUCCCUGCUACAAAGGGAGGCAGAUCGACAACACCGACCUGCUGGGGCCAUCGACCAAAUUGUUUGGCCUACUUGCUCUAACCACCAGUCGCAAUAAUAAUCGCCGCGAAGAACGGCGCUAUGACAACAGCGACCACCGUCAUGAUAAGUCGAAAAGCUCGAGGGCCGGACAAUUUUGUCAUCACCGACUAGACUUCCAUCCAAAGAUAAGUGCACUUCUAAUAUUUUAUUUAUUUUUGGUAUAAUAUUUUUUAUUAUCCUUCAAAACAACUUUUUGGUUAGCCGACUAGUUUUUUCUCCUACACGAGUUUUUCAGAGCCGGUACUGUCUCCGACUCCUCCCUACACGUGCAUGAGAUCCGCCCUCUGCGUUCCGGGUGGUCGGCAGUAGCUCUCUGGCGAGGCUGGCAAUUCCACGCAUGUCUAGGUUCCGCACCUCAUGCUGAUUGUUGGCUAGACCAGAGCUGGUACAAGCUCUAGGAUGAAUUAACUACUCGUGCUAAUUUUAUAACAAAAAAUCUAAAACUUAUCUCAGUACUAAUUUUUUAUCUAAAGUUUAUUUAUACAUCAUGUACUACUUUAUAUUUUUCAGGAGUUUGGCCCAGUCGACAAGCCACGCUCGUGGACUCGUCGACUAUUUCCUACGCUGUGCCCGGGGAUUGCUCCGACCACCGAGCACGUUUACGUUCCCAACCACGCUCGGGGACUUGUCGACUACUCUCUAUGCUGUGCUCGAAGACUGUGCCGACCACCGAGCACGUUUACGUUCCCAACCACGCUCGGGGACUUGUCCACCGGUCCCUACGCCGUGCUCGGGGACUGUGCCGACCACCGAGCACUAUACGCUCGGGGACUGGUCGACCAGCUCACCAAUUUGAGAGUUUGGGGACUGCACCGACCACCGAGCACUAUACGCUCGGGGACUGGUCGACCAGCCCACCAAUUUGAGAGUUUGGGGACUGCACCGACCACCGAGCACUAUACGCUCGGGGACUGGUCGACCAGCCCACCAAUUUGAGAAUUCGGGGACUGUACCGACCACCGAGCGUUAUAUGCUCGGGGACUGGUCGAUUAGUCUAUUCAAUUGCAGACGAGCAUGAUAUUCUCGGGGACUGGUAAAUUCAAUUUUUUAGACCUUGCUACAAGGCUCAUACUUCGCCUUCCAGCAAGCUCGGGGACUACAUCGGUAUGAUGCAUCUGGCGAUGCAUCUCAGUUUUAGAAUUUCUAUGAUUUUCUUUUUAGACCCUGGGACAACGUGCCUACGUCACCUACUACCAGGCUCGGGGACUAAGUGGGCACACUUCACCUUGCGGUGAAUAUGCUUGCUUUUUUGAGGUUUAUACUUUUUAGAAAAGUAAAGUGGGCACACUUCACCAGGAAAGAAAUAUUUUUUUCUCAAGAGCACCAUGCAUUCUUCGAACAACCUGCUCCUUCGACGACGAUGUUGAUCAACUAUCUUUUGGGUUGGUCAAAAUACUGUUGCAACUGUUCGGGCGGCUCUCAUGCUAAUCGGAGAUGUCAAGCUUUGCUGAUCGAAGAAGCUUAAGACGACGUGUUACAUCACAAUACACGGUGCUCGGGGACUAGCUGUGGGGGUAUAAACCCCUAUACCCUUACGGCUAGACUUGGGCCAGGAGGCUUGGCCCAUUACGAGACAAGUUCGAGGUCUUGAUCCGACUGCUCAAGGAAACAAGACGUGGAAAUCAAGCAGGAUUCUAGUCGGUUAGAAUAGAAAUUGAUAUCGAACUAUCUAUGGCAAUUGUAACCGACUAGGAUUAGUUUCCAGAUCUGUAACCCUGCCCCUCGGACUAUAUAAGGAGGGGCAAGGGACCCCCCUAGGAUAUAUCAUAUUCUCUCAACACAAAUCAAUACAACCAGACGCAGGACGUAGGUAUUACGCCAACUCAGCGGCCGAACCUGGAUAAAAAGCUUGUCCGUGUCUUGUGUCACCAUCGAGUUCGUUGUUUGCGCACCGUCUACCGAUAAACUACUACCGUGGGUAUACCCCAAGGUAGACUGCCGACCAGCUUUCGUCGACAGCGGGCGCCCUGUCCCUGAGUACUCUCAGCUUCCGCUUUGUUUCCGUGGCUUCUGGAGUCUUCUAGAUGAUAGAAAAUUACGUGGCAUGUUAAUAUCUCUAUGUAAACCCGACAUGUGGGCCUUUCUUUCGUAUUUCCUGAUAACCCCAUGCAGAAAUAGACAAAUACCAAAACUCGUGGAAUUCUGUCAGAUAAAACCCUAAGUCUAGGUGUUAGUUGCAUUUGGAUCCUUUUCCAUGAUUAGUUGAUGGUUAAAUGUGAGCAUUAAGGACCGUCAACAAUGCCAUGGGAGUCUUGAUUGGCUUGAAAUCCAUCAUCUUGAACCUCUUGAGAAGAUCUUGUGUGUACUUCUCUUGAGAGAUGAAGACCCCUUCCUUCAUUUGCUUGACUUGAAAUCCUAGGAAGAAGGAUAGAUCGCCAAUCAUGGACAUCUCAAACUCCUUGGACAUCAAAUCACCAAAUUCCUUGCAAAAAUCUUCAUUAGUGAACCAAAAAUAAUAUCAUCAACAUAAACUUGGCAAAUGAGGAUUUCCCCAUUCAUUUUCUUGGUAAGAGUGUUGUGUCAACUUUCCCAAUCUUGAAACCCUUCUCAAUGAGGAAGUCCCUAAGCCUCUCAUACCAAGCUCUAGGAGCUUGCUUGAGACCAUAGAGAGCCUUGGACAACCAGUAGACAUGCUUGGGAUACCUAGGGUCUUCAAAACCGAGGGGUUGCUCAUCAUAGACAAGCUCAUUAAUAUAACCAUUUUAAAAAAAACACUUUUCACAUCCAUUUGAAACAACUUGAUAUCAAGACUAGAUGCAUAUGCAAGUAGGAUACGGAAUGCUUCAAGUCUUGCCACCGGUGCAAAUGUUUCACCGAAGUCAAGACCUUCCACUUGUGAAAAGUCUUUUGCCACGAGCCUUGCCUUGUUGCUCACCACUGUGCCUUGAUCAUCUUUCUUGUUCCGGAAAGACCCAUUUUGUUCCACACACCAAAACUUGUUCUAGGUUUUUAAAUAAAUUCAUUUUGGGGGCUUUUUGGAUAAAAUCCAUUUCUCAAUUUCUAUAGCUCCAAAAAUUUUACAAAAAUACUCUUAAUUCUCCUAAGACAUAUUUCAACCUAAUUUGGGCAUUACAAGGAUUUUGGAACAAGCAUACUAUUUUUAUCAUAUUUAAUUCACAUAAAAACAAGCACAUAAAAUCAUACUAGGAUAAAUGCUAUGCUCAUGUGAUGCUAUGCUUGAUGAGAAUGCUUAUGUAUGGGUUUAUGAGACUAAGUGCAUGCUUAACACCUAGGGUGUUACAACCCUUCCCCCCUUAGGGAAAUCUCGUCCCGAGAUUUUGGGUUACUAACCAUCUCUUAUGAAAUUUUGGGUAAACUGUUUUUAGGUAAUCCUCGGUUUCCCAGGUGGCAUCUCUAUCAUUGUGAUGACUCCACACCACCUUGUAAGUCUUGACAACUCUAUUCCGGGUUACCCACACCUUGGUAUCUACGAUACCCACCGGUUGUUCUUUAUAUUCCGAAUCUGCCUUUAUCUUGAUUCCUCGAGGUUCGAUCCUCUGUUCGGGUACUUUCAAACAUUUUCUUAGCUAGGACACAUGAAACAUCGGAAAGAUUGAGCUCAACUCUUCAGGUAGCUGAAUCUUGUAGGCCACAGGGCCUUUCUGUUCUAGUAUCUGAUACGGCCCCACAUAUCUAGGUGCAAGCUUGCUUCUAACUCGGAAGCGCUGAACUUUCUUCAUCGGUGUAACCUUGAGGUAUACAUAGUUACCCACUUUAAACUCAAGUGGCCUUCUCCUCUUGUCGGCAUAACUCUUUUGUCGUGAUUGUGCCGCCCUCAUGUGUUGUUGUAUGAUUUGCACCUUCUUCUCAGCCUUGUUCACGAAGUCGAUACCAUAGUAUCUCCUUUCGCCGGGUUCGACCCAGUUUAACGGAGUCCUAUACUUUUGGCCAUACAAAGCUUCGAACGGAGCCAUCUUGAUACUCUCUUGAUAGCUAUUGUAGUACGAGAAUUCAGCCAAAGGUAACCAUGAUUCCCAUGAUCCCUUGGGUAAUAACACACAAGCACGUAGCAUAUCUUCGAGCACUUGAUUGAGUCUUUCCGUUUGACCCGAGGUUUGGGGAUGGUACGCUGUGCUCCUUAUCAAACUAGUCCCCAAACUCUUAUGCAUUCGCUCCCAAAAAUGAGGUGAACUGCGGUCCUCUAUCUGAUAUGAUGGUUUUGGGAUACCAUGUAGCUUGAGGAUCUCAGCCAUGUAUAUAUCAGCAUACUCAGGAGGUCUGUACGUGUUCUUAAGUGGAAUAAAAUGAGCCGACUUGGUCAAUCGAUCUAUGAUUACCCAAAUCGAGUCAUUUCCCUUUCGUGUGGUCAGCAAACCUGUGAUGAAAUCCAUGCUAACCUCUUCCCACUUCCACUCUAGAACUGACAACGGUUGCAACAGACCUGCAGGUUUCAUAUGUAUAGCUUUGACUAUGCAACACGUGUCACAACGAGCCACAUAUGCUACUAUCUCUUUCUUCAUUUUGGUCCACCAAAAGUGCGACCAUAGAUCUUGAUACAUCUUACUACUGCCAGGAUGGAUAGAAAGCUUCGAGAGAUGCGCUUCAUCCAUGAUGCGAUUCUUUAAUUCUCGAUUCUUCGGAACUACCAACCGGUGCUGAAACCAUAAUACACGUUUUUCAUCAACUCGGAACUGAGUCUUUGGAUCUUCUUUGAUCUUCUCUUUGAUGUGAAGAAAACCCUUAUCUGUUUUCUGACCCUCGAUGACUUGACUUUCAAGUGAACAACUGAGCUGUAUGUGACAUAAGACUUCAGGAUGCAUGAGAUUGAAACCAUCUUCAAACAAAGGUUAAACUACUUGAUAGUGUGGUUUGUGAAUCAAGGCGUCUGCUACCACAUUAGCCAUGCCUAGAUGAUAGUGGACCUCCAGAUCAUAAUCCUUGAUCAGUUCUAACCAUCUUCGUUGCCUCAUAUUCAGCUCAGACUGAGUGAAGAUAUACUUUAGACUUUUAUGAUCUGUGUAGAUAUGACACUUGUUGCCCACCAAAUAGUGCCUCCAGAUCUUCAAAGCGUGCACUACUGCUGCUAGCUCAAGGUCAUGAGUCGGGUAGUUGACUUCGUGCUUUCUUAACUGUCGUGAAGCGUAAGCUAUAACUCUGCCUUCUUGCAUUAGCACACUCCUAAACCGCUUUUCAAUGCGUCGCAAAACACAUCAAAAGGCUUCUCGAUAUUUGGUUGCGCCAGAACGGGAGUGGUGGUCAGCAACUUUCGCAAGUUGCGGAAGGCUAUUUCACACCCUUCCGUCCAGACAAACUUAUGAUCCUUUUGUAAUAAACUGGUCAUUGGCUUAGCAAUCUUGGAGAAGUCAGGGAUGAAACGACAAUAAUAUCCGGCUAGACCAAGAAAGCUUCAAACUUACGAGACAGAAGUUGGUGCCUUCCAGUCCAUGACUUCCUGUACCUUUGACGGAUCCACAGCAAUCCCUUCUUCUGACAGAAUGUGCCCUAGGAAAGGAACUUUCUUCAGCCAGAACUCGCACUUGCUGAACUUUGCAUACAACUGAUGCUCUCACAGCCGUGUUAGCACGACUCUUAGAUGCUCGGCAUGAUCUUGCUCAUUCUCUGAGUAGACUAGAAUGUCGUCGAUGAACACCACAACAAACUUGUCUAACUCUGGCAUAAAUACUGAGUUCAUCAGAUACAUAAAGUAUGCAGGAGCAUUUGUCAACCCAAAGGACAUGACAAGAUACUCAUACAACCAAUAUCUGGUAGAAAAAGCAGUCUCUGGGAUAUCUUGUGGACGGAUCUUGAUUUGGUGAUACCCGGACCUCAAAUCUAUCUUGGAAAACACUUUUGCCUUGGAAAACUGAUCAAACAAGAUAUCAAUUCGCGGCAAAGGGUAGUUAUUCUUGAUUGUCACCGCAUUGAGUGGACGAUAGUCCACGCACAUGCGCAGCGAUUGAUCCUUCUUUUUCACAAACAACGUCGGACAACCCCAUUCUGACGAACUUGGCCGGAUGAACCCUUUAUCUAACAAUUCCUUUAGUUGAUUUUUCAAUUCAGCGAGUUCAUUAGGCGGCAUCCGGUAUGGCCUUCUAGAGAUUGGUGUUGUACCUGGUAUUAGCUCUAUUGCAAACUCUACUUCCCUAUCUGGAGGAAGUCUUGGCAACUCUUCGGGAAAAACAUCAGGGAACUCACAGACCACUGGUAUAUGUUCUAGUGGGACCACCUGUACUGCACACGAAAGACUGGCGGAGUAUAACCGCCGGGGUAGCCUGACCUGAAGCAUACCCUCCCCCUGCGGGUCUUUAAGGGAGAGAGUUCUAUGUCCAGCAUCUAUAACUGCACCCCAGUCAGUCAUCUUAUUCAUUCCAAUGAUAACAUCCAAAACCAGUCCUAGCAUGACCACAAGGUUUACACAAAACCUUCGGCCACUGAUAUCCAAGGUAACCCCCGUUACUGCUUUGUUAGUCAACACAUCAGCCCCUGCUGAACUGAUGCGAUAACCAUAACCCAACUCGGUAACUGGUUGGUCAUGCUUUUGUGCAAAUGCUUGGCUCAUGAAUGAAUGCGAUGAUCCAGAAUCAAACAAAACAACUGCAAGAUGUUGGUUGACAGGAAACAUACCAGUCGUUACCGGUUCUCCUUCUGGGAUCUCCUCUAUCGAGGUAUGGUGCACACAGGCUGGGUAGGUUGCCUGCUGCUUCUUGGGGUAGGGGCAUUCCUUAGCAAAGUGCCCCAUCUUGUGGCAGUUAUAGCACGGUCCCUUGGUCAUGUUGUUGGCAGCAGGUGCUGCAGCUUGAAUUGCCUUUGGGUUGGCAGGAGCUAUUGCUAUCUUGUACGGCUUCUGUUGCGUUGGAUGUCCUGUGUUCCUUCUCUGCGGUGGUCGGAACCUAGCACCUGGGGCAGGAGGACGAUACUGCUGAAGUCCUGCCACUGGUGCCCUGGACUGAGACGAUCCGACUUCAAAAGCCCUCUUGCGAGACUUGGAUGCACUAUAGUUGUUGUUAUUGUUCUCCUGGGUCAGACAGUCACUGAUGUAGGCAUUGAAGGUAGCCCGGGUUCCUGUACCCAUGGUCUUCAGCAUCUUUGGGCUCAAGCCUCUCUGGAAACUAGCGAUCUUCUUGGCCUCUAUGUUCACAAACUUGGGAGCGUAGCGAGCAAGAUUGUUAAAAGCGUGCAGAUACUCCUUCACAGACUUCAUUCCUUGGGACAGCCUCAUGAACUCCCCCAACCUUCAUUUCCACUACACCCGGAGGAAUAUAAUUCCCUCGAAAGGCGGUGGUGAAGCGGUUCCAGGUGAUCGGGGUCCCCUCUGGGUAGGUGGUGCGAUGAUGGGACCAUCAAAUCCCAGCAGGCCCCUGCAGCUGAUGCGUCGCAUACUCGGCCUUGAGCUCUUCGGUCAUCCGAAGGAGACGGAACUUUUGCUCCAUGGUGUUAAUCCACUCAUCUGCCUCGAGUGGUUCCAGGUCCUCCUUGAAGACCGGUGGUUUAGUAACCACGAAAUCCUUGAAAGAGCUGUACUGAUUGACUUCACGGCCGCCCUGGUUGUCCCCACGACGGGUGUUGUCAGCGAUAUUGCGCAAGGCCUCUUCCAUGUUGCGCUGCAUCUGCUCCAUGUUGCAUUGGCUCCCUAGAAACUGCGCAAAAAACAUGUUCGCAGUGUACGGAGGAGGGGGUGGUGGUGGCGGUGAUGGUGCUCUCUCCUCAUUCCUUUGAGCCCCACCUCUGGAUGUACCUGCUCCAAGAUCGGGGUUGCUGUUACCCCCGCCACGUGUUUGCACCAUCUGCAUGCGUCAAUGAUAAGCAGUCGUUAGGAGUUGCCAUCAACGGUAGACAUAUGUAGAAUCAUGCCGUACUGAAUUUACUGAGGAAAAUAAAUUCGCACAAUAAACAGAGGCACAACAAUUCAUCAUCCACACACGACAUCACUAACGGAUUACUUAACAUUCAAGCAACAAGGUUCGCAUACAUCCAAAAUUGCCAGCAUACAUACACUGGACUUUCAGCGUUCAACACAGCUCAGCACAUAGAGUCUUAUACAACAACGGUCCAACAGAUUAUAAGACAUGCCAUGCAACAACAACAGCAAAAGAAGAAGGACUAGCUCUAGAGCCCUAGCAUCUACUCGUUAUGGUCACUGUCCAUGCCGGAGCCCUCCUCGUCCUCAUCUCCACUAGCGGCUGCCUCCAUCUCUGGAUCCUCAUCCAUCUCAUCCUCAGAUUCUAACUCAGCUGCUCCAGGCAGGUGGUGAGGGUGGAGCUGGUUAUGCAGCUGGUGGAUCUCCUCAUGCAGGUUCUCAUUGUACUCCUCAGCAUUAGCUAACUGCUGCUCAAGCUCUAGCUGUCGGGCCCUCAGGGUGUCCUCCUCAUGCCAGGCUUCAUUCCUCUGACCAAGCACAUGAACUAGCAUGCGCUCGCAGUUCCUUUAAGCGGUGGUCACCCUGUCCCUCUGCUCUCUCACUGCGAGCAGGUCCUGACUCAGCUCACUGUUCUUCUGGACUGCCUGAUCCCUCUCUAGGGUCACCCAGGCCAACUCUGCCUGCAGCCUCACAACCUCAGUAUCAAACUCACGCUGCAACUGGCGCUUCUCAUGAUGAAUGGUGAGAGGAGACCCGGACAAGCAUCCCAAACAACGCUCCAGACCCCCAUAGGUCUUCAUCAAGGCAAACAUAGCACUCAUAGCUACGCUGUCACUGUGCUGGUCCUCAUCCGCACUCCUCUCUAGAGCAUUCACCUCGGACUGAUCCCACACUGAAGUGUAGAGGUCACCCCAGGGAAACACCCCAGCGAAGGCCUGGGCCAGCUCCUGCGGAAACCUCUCCAUGAUGUCCCUUAGCACCGCAAAAGAAGCCCUACUGGCACCCUGGAAAGGCGUGGUACCUCAGGACUCGUACGCCCAGCCACCCCAGGCGGGGUCACCUCCACUGGUAGGGACCACUGCCUCGAUCCCCACCAGGUCCCGUCACCAAGCUGCUCCUUGUUCCAAAAGUAGCGUGGUUCCCUCCCUUCGGGAUACCCCAUCAAACUGAGUACCCUCCAAAGCAAGGUGGGCAUCCCAAACUCCUCUAGGAACUUGCUCUUAUGACACGAGCUCCUAGCUGCCAACUGAUGGUGAGGGGCCCGCCCACCAGUGGACUUGCGAGCAGUGAGCCUAGUGCGCGCCAUCUACUGCAAAUAGAGUACCUUGGGUAAGACUGAGGAUUAUCUUUUAUUAUCUUAAUUGAAAUUCGGACAGAUUUAAUUUAAGGGGAGGAAGUAAGCAAUGAUAUGGAAUGAACUUACGAUCUCACAAACUUAGAAACAAAAGUUAUCACUAAUCGGUAUAUGCGGUGGCACACAACGUCCUCUCAUAACGUAACUAGCGUUCUAGGCGGAGACGGGGUUAGCGUACCUGCAGAAAACUCAUUUCAGCCCAACCACAGUAUGAACAUGCAAAACAAGAAUUUAAAGCUAUACACCCCACACACAUAGACACCACAUCCAUGCAUAUGGCGUGUUACUACCCACAUCAUCGCCCUAGUGACGGCAUCGCCUCUCAUGACGGAAUCUCCCAACAUGCGGUACUGUUCCCAGGCACACAAGAUAUGCGUGCAUGACACAACACCUUAAAGCACUUCCCUAGAUCGGCAGUGUAUCUGAUCAUGCUCUCACAGCUCCCACUUACCGAGGCGUAGAGGAAGAAUUGAUCCAUACAUUACCACUCAAUUGAAUGGCACUCAUACUAUUGCACAUCGUAUGAGCGACGAAAUAGAAAUAUGAUGCAUUAACCCCCAAGUCAGUACUUAACUAGCCACCUUAGAGUCCUUAACUGGGCAUAAAGGAUAUAACCAUGGCACACUGUGUAGUUUUCCAAAAACUCAUUUUAACACCUUGAUUAACAUUAAUUGCAUAGUUAACUUUUAUUUACCGGUUUAAGUUUAAUUUAGAACGUACUUAUGAACAGUAACUCGCUAAACCUUGCUCCGAUGCCAGCUGUAACAGAACCGCCCAAAUUAUAAGAGAUUAAGCCUAAUAGUGACCAUUUGCACAGUCAAACCAUCGAGCUUAAGCCCAUAUAAUCCCGGUAGUCCGUGAAAUGUUGAAGGAUUUCAAACCACAUAUCGUACGUACAACCAAGAUCGUAAUAAGUUCAGCGGUCACCAUUCACAAUUACAUCCAGUUCGCAUCAUUCAUCAAAUACAUCGGAGUACUUAAAGUUAUUACAAACCAAGUUCUCAAGUAGCGGAAGCUUCAUAGUUUGAAAGUAACACACACACAUUUAGUCUGAUACAGUGCCAUAAUUUGAUCAUUCCCACAAAAGCAAGAGAGAAGGUAGAGUGACCAUCGCCCUUGGUCUAGUCAUCACCCAUUGUUGGGUACAAGCAGUGAAUGUAAUAACCAUAGUACAUCUGCCCAUCUGCAAAACAACAUGGGAAUAGAACCCUGAGUACGAGAAUGUACUCAGCUAGACUUACCCGUCAUAAACCAAAAUAAAGACUCUUCAAGGAUCAUGAAGGUGUAUAGUGGGGUAGCUGAGACUUUUUGCGUAAAAGCACUACUCCACUAGAAGUACCUCCUAACAGUACUCCCUUUUCUUUUUAUUAGCUUAGGUUAGGUAUUAAUACCUAUCAUCUAGAUUUGCACCUGUACUAAUUCAAGCAAGUGUGGUAAUAUGAUGGUACCUCAUCAUAGCAUUCAUAAAUCAUUUGUCAUCAUAACCCAAGUGUUCCAUAGUCCUUACUACGAGGAUGAAGCUCGUGUCAAGUGCUCACUAUCUAGGAGCGAUGGCGAUUCGAAUUGAAUUCCGACCAGCUGGCGAGUUUAUUCCCCAGACAAACCCCACUCACUGAUCAAGUGAGCUACAGAUCACCGUAUUGCACUAUCCAGGACCAAAUCGCGGGUUCGACAGGCACCGCCCGUACCCGAGGACCGUUCUAGCGACCGAGGUAUCCAUGGUAUACCAGGGUUGCGCGCCGUGCCCUCGUCGUUCUCCUCAACCAUCACCAAUACAGCGCGUACAUCGGGCCGAUUCUAGGACCGGAUAGUGCUUAGGCUUCGCGGUCGGAACGACUUAUCCUUCCAGCUAAGUGUGGGGCAUGCGUUCAACAUGACAAGAGGGUCGUCAACGAUCGGUCCUUAAUCGACACAGGCAGGGGCACUACGGUCAACUCCACCAUAAGACCCUGCCCGGUCUCAGAGUCAUUUCCCCACUUGGUUACUUUUCCUCAAAGCAUGAUCAACUAAUCAAACAGGUGUCCACCUAUAUCUCGCAGGUGAGAGGAAAUCACCCGACUUCUACUGUACUAGGAAAGCUAAGCAUAGACUCUGAGCCUAUCUACAUAGGACAAGGUAGAUAAACCAGUGGUGAUAUCAAGGAGUACGUAUGCAUCAACGAUAUCAAGCAAUUCCUAUCACUAAAAUGCAACAUAGUAAAACAAGCAUAAUAUAUCCUCUAAGUUAGCGAGAAUAGGGAAACUUAGAAUGCUCCGCGGCUUGCCUUUCUCAAACGUGCUCGGCUUGUGGUCCGGGCACUCCUGCAGCUCUUCUCUCGGCUCUGAUCCUCCUUGAAGUUCCUGCUCUGGGGUCUCCUCCUGCUCCUCGGGUCCCACCUCAUUCUCCUGUGAGCUUGUAUGAUGCAUGUGUGCUCAUGAGUGGAGUGCGAGAUGCCCGGGGUGCAAUGCUUAUGCAAGUGGGUACUAGAUGACCAUGACAUGGUGUAUAAAUGACAUAGGUGGUUACUCCUACAAGGUAGUCAACAUCAUCCAAGAACAUGUACUCAGAUUAAGCAUCUAUUGCAUUCUCUUCUACAAAUUGCUUUCAUAGUUAACCAGCAGCUAACAUGAUGCUUCAAAGAUACACCAAACACCCUUUGAUUCUAUUUAGUUUAUGCAUAAUAAUUCAUAGUUUAUUUAAUCAUUAUUGGACCUACAAAAGUAGCAGAUAUUUCUGUUUAUCAAUAAAUUCCACAAAAAUUACAGUAGAUCACUAGUCAACCAUAAAGUCUACCAUAAAUUUUUCAUAAUAUUUGGACACUUAUUUUGGGCUACAAAAAUUACAAGAUCACUCCAUAUAAUUAAGUAUAAAUACCCUACUGUUGACCAAGUGUCAAACAACAGAUUUCAUAUUUUUAUAAAUUACUUGUUAACAUAAGAAACACCCACAAAAAUUUUCAUAUUAAUUGCAUGAUCCAAUUAUUUAUUAAAAAUCAUAAACCACUUCCAUGCAAGCAUUUAAAUCAUCAUAAAUUAAUUUAUACAGCAAAUAAUAGGUAACACAUUUUUCCCAGAGACUAAUCAUCCAUGCAAAGCCAACAAAACAAGUUUCACAUUUUUCUGAGUUAUAUUUUAAUUACUAUGCAUUUUCUAAUCUUCAGCAAAAACAUGGAUUAAAUAUAUUUGUACAGAAAAGUUGUUCAAACAUGACAUGCAACCACACCAAACUAUAGAUCUGGAAUUAUAGAACACACUACAAUUUAUUUCAUCAUUUUUGGAACCAUGGAUUCAAGAUAUAGAUUUAACAUCAUUUAAACCAUUUUCUGGAAAAUAUUUUCUGAAAAACCAAUUCAAAUCCGGAAUGAAAAAUGCUAGAAACACCCGGAUCUCUACCCGCCUUGGUCCCCCUGCGCCUGACAGUGGGUCCCCGACCCCACUGGUCAGCGUGACCGAGAGGGAGAGCACCUCUAACGAGCGGAUCUCGUCGGCAGUGAGGUCUCCGGCCACGGGGUGAGCACCAACGUGCUCCCCGCAGCGAGGCGCACCCGAGGGUGCCCUUGGUUCGGCCGGAGGACGACCGGAGCACCCCCGCUGGCGUGCAUGGCAGCACGGCGGCGCUGCUCGCCGUGGCCAGGCCGCUCCAGUGGAGUAGAGCGCGCACGGGGUACCGCCUAAGCUUCCCCGUCACGCUACAAACCUAACGCGCUCAAGAACAAGCGAAGCGGGGCAGAAACGAGAAGGUUUCAACGCGGUGGAGCUCUCCAAUGAGGUCGGGCAAACUCCGGCGAGAGAUUGCGGGUUCACGGAGGGCUUUCACCUUGGUAGAGCGCGCGCAGGGGCUUACCGCGGCGAAGGCGAACGCGACGGUGGUCUUGGCGCAGAGAACAAGCUACUAACGCGGCCUGCGGCGAGCGGCGGAGCUUCGGCCGGCAAUGGCGCCGCGGCAGUUGCUGCUGCUGCGGCUGCGCUCGCGAGCGGAGAAGGAGAGGGAGCGGGAGGGGACAGAAUGGCGUCUGGGGGCGCAGGGUGCCGUCUCGACCGGGGUAAGCCGGUCGGCCGAGCGGCGCGUCCACAACGCCGGCGUACGGCCGCCAUGUGGUCGGCGCCGGGUGGAGCGAGGCGGGCGUCCGCGCGCGGGAGAGGGGAGGGGGAAACCGGGCCGCGCGGCUUGGCUGGGCCGAAAGGGAGGCGGGUCGGCCCAGCAGCGCCUGCCCGCUUUUCUUUUUUUUGAAUUUCUUUUCUCCAAAAAGCUUAAAUGGGAUUUUUGGGGCUUUUUCAAAUCUUUUCAGGUGUUAGAGUAAAAAUUCAUUUUGGGGGCUUUUGGAUAAAAUCCAUUUCUCAAUUUCUAUAGCUCCAAAAAUUUUACAAAAAUACUCUUAAUUCUCCUAAGACAUAUUUCAACCUAAUUUGGGCAUUACAAGGAUUUUAGAACAAGCAUACUAUUUUGAUCAUAUUUAAUUCACAUAAAAACAAGCACAUAAAAUCAUACUUGGAUAAAUGCUAUGCUCAUGUGAUGCUAUGCUUGAUGAGAAUGCUUAUGGAUGGGUUUAUGAGACUAAGUGCAUGCUUAACACCUAGGGUGUUACAAAAGUGAAGCUCAAAAUCUUGAUGAUGUGAGAGGAGAUCAAUUAGCAAAUGCAAUGAAGAACAUGGAUGUAGGUGACAUAAGGCCGAGGCAAGUUAAUGAUGAUAAUGAUAUUCACAUGAUUAAUCAAGAAGUGGAAAUUGAUACAAAUCAAGCUAGUACUAGUGGCUCUCAUGAUGAUGAUCAAAAUCAAAGUUAAGCUAGUGGAAACAAUCAACUCCCAAUACUCCAACCUACAAGCAUAGCAAGGGAUCAUCCAUUGGAUCAAGUCAUUGGUGGUAUUCAAAGUGGUGUACAAACAAGAUCAAGGCUAGCAUCCUUUUGUGAGCACUAUUCAUUUGUCUCAUGUUGCUAUAAAUUAACUGCACUCCUUUUAAAUAAGAUUUAAGUAAGAUUAUCUGCAAGCGCACAGAUAUCAUACCAAUGUCACAUUUUACCCGGGGGGUUUUAGAUAUCGUAUCCAUAGGGAAGGUCUAUAUGUAGGACUUAUAACUAUAACUUAUACUAUUGAUGUGAACGGUAAACCAUAACUAGAAUCCUACUCAUAAGAGGGAUAAGUCACUUGAUAAAAGAUAUAAGAUAAAUAAUAAUCAUUCAUCAUAAAUAGAUAAAUACUAGAGCUCUUCUAGUCACAGCAAUAGCCAGCCAAUGGAUAAACUCAGGAAUACUAAGAUAAUUCUAUAACUACAUCAAUGAAUAGCUCUAAUUAGUGCAAUUACAUCUAGAAAUCAUUGUUAAGUCAACCAUAUAUAAUAAUCACAUGUAAAGAGGCAUCAACUAAUGAGGGUAUUAAGACACAAGGGUCACCUCCUUCGCGACCAUGCCCAUACUAGUCCUACGUACAAAGGGUGGACUACAGAGGAACCAAUGCAGCUGUUACCUGUGAGGACUACCACACAUCCCGGCACAUCAGGGUGCACUCGUAGAUAAACAAGAUAUCUAGACACCACGUCUACAUACCGUCUACCAUCUACCCAAUGAUCAAUUAGGUAAACACUAUACGAGCAAUUACAUGAAUUCAAUAAGAUUAAACCAACUAUCCUAGACAUAUGAUCAAAGUAGACAAUGACUAUUGCAAUUAAGAAUAUAUAAGAGAUUAAGAACAAUGUUGACUGAAUCAUAAUAUUGAAUACAAUAAGAGAAAAGGACUAGAACUAUACCGAACUCUGAGCUCCAGACAGACGCCAGGGGCUCCAGAUCUCGCUGAAUAACUAGAACUCUUCUAAUUCUAAUCUAACUAGGCUAAAGCUAUGAACUAGAGAGGCUCUGAUGAACUAGAGAAGGCUCUUGAUGGAUUGAUCUCCAAAUUACUUGAUGCCUUAGGGAGGGCGGUCUGCCCCUUUAUUUCUAGUCUGGUGGGAUGCACGUGCGCCGUAGGAUCAAACCGACUUAACCAAGAGCCGAGAUGCAUCAGGAGAGGUGGUGGAGGAAGCUUCUAGAAGGGGGGCCAAAACCCUAACAUUGGAGCGCCGGCGGGCGCUAGGGUGGGGCUGGCCGACCCCACCUGGUAGACUCUAGCCCCCCCGGCUCUUCGGGUGUCUUCCAGAGUCUUCCCACGUCCCGAUCGUGAUCUUUUCGUGGUGGAUAAGUUUCGUGUUUAUUUUGCACUUGAAUCCUUCUUUUCCGCUUUUCUGGAAAUAGACCCUAGAAAAUAUAGAAUAUGCAAAACUCGUGGAAAUUGUCAGUCUAAACCCUAGACUAGUGUUUUUUUAUGUUCUCCUUCGGGUCUAAAGUUCUAAUAAAAGUUGACAUUAUCGACCAUCAAAAAUUGCCCCAUGCUUAUCUUUUGCCAGUCCCUUGGCAAACCAAGCCUAAGUAGUAUAUGUAUUUGGAUCAAGAGUUGCUACAAUGUUUUCAUUCUUUCCAAGUACACAUGCUCCCAAACAAAGAUCUCCUCCAGAUUAGCUAAUAACUGCUCUAAUCUUCAAAUCUACCUAUUUUAACUUUAACCAUGGGGCUUUACAACUCUUGCAUGAGUCUUGAGCAAUCAGAAGACAGAACAAUCAGGUCAAGUACUAUGUCUCAAAUUCUUUGCAGAACCAUCAUUCUGGAGUUUUUUAUAAGUUUUCAGAAUAAAACUUAGAGCUUAAUUGUAUGACACCCUCAAAUCUCUCAAUGUAUGUGGUAUUUAUGGUUCUCUCUUGAGGCAUUAAUGAUGUUAUGCCUUCUAUAGCUAAAGGUAUAUAUGGUAGAGCUUAUAGGAGUGCCAAUAACAAGGAUAGACAUACUUGCAAUGCAUGUAUUGUAAAGUCAACUAAUGGAUCCAUAGAGAAUCAUGGCAUACAAUCAAACCAAGAUGUGCAUGUAUAUGGAAUAUGGUGAAUAGGUGCAUUUGUGGUAUUUGUGGCUAAUCUCUAUCUUCUUUGGGAAUAGCUCUCUAUUGAAACUUUUCAGGAAAGACAUGGGCUAUCUUUAUUUUAUUUUUUUAAUUCAGGGAGGCGGGCAUCUAGUACCCAUUGUUUUAAUUACUGGGACACUUGUCCAUCUUUUACUCCGUUUUCUUCUUUUAUAUUUUUGCAUGGCCACACGUAUCCUUUGAAUACAAUAAAUGAUCAGAGAGGUAGCAAUAAGUACUUAGAGCAAUUAAACAAAGGUUGUCCUAUGGGUUUAUAUAUAUUUUUGGGUGUUUGACUCCCAGUGUAGGAGAAAAACAAUUUUAAGGUAGAUCUGGAUGAAAGUGGAAAAUGGUUGCAUUUACUCCCAGAGUAGGACUAAUGCAUAUGUAGAUGGAGUGUGUGUGUGAUCUUGAUUUUAAAAGCAUGAGAAGACUCUCAUAUGGUAUACGACAAAGGUUGACUGAACUCAAUGCAAAGCAAGCAGCAUGAAUGAGCAAAGGUUUCCUUAAUCUAAAUGUAUAUGAUAUAUGGCUUUGCUAGGAAUUCAUACCUUGUUAUACAAGAGCUCAUCAUGUAGGAUUUUGGGUUUUCAAAAUAAAUCUCCAGAACUUAAUAAUGCUAGGAAUAAGACAAAUAGUAGCUCAGACUUUCAAUGAUCAUAUCAACCAACUACCUAGACUUAGCUCAAACUUAUCCCUCCACAAGUUGCAGGUUCAAAGUAAACCUUCAAAUUAAAACAGUAAUGUCCAAAACUCGAGAGAAUCUAACAUUGAAAUCUAGGUACUUGUAAAGAACUACAAUAAAGUAACUAUUCAUCACCUCCAAGACAAAAUUUUAAUGUUCAUCAGUUUUUUUUAAUUAACUCUAGCCUAGACACACUAUAAUAUAAUUAAUACUAAAUAAGACUUCUUUUUAUUGGUUUUAUAUUAAAUACCUGAUAAAAGACUCUAUGACUUUGUGGACCUUCAUGUGUACACAUAUUUUUGGUAUUUUAUGAAUAUCUAUAUAAAAUAAAUUAAUAAUCGCCUAGGUGUCGUCAUCUAAUAACUAUGGGAUGCUCCUCCCCCAAGCUAGAUGGUUGCAUCAAAUUCGUAGCUUGCGCACCUGUCUGCCGAUAAACUACUACUGUGGGUAUACCCCUAGGUAGACUGCCGACUAGCUUUCGUCGACAGUGGCGCGCCAGGUAGGGGGAGUGCGUACAGCUUCCUAAACGAACAAGAUGGUCAUCAUCCCAGCUUCCGCUGCCGUGGCUGAAGGUCUCACGUUCACCGUCGGCCAGAUCACUUGGAUGACUCAUGUGGCGGCCUUACGACCACGACUCUGGAAGAAACUCAGAUCCGAUCUGGGGCAUCAGAGGCGAUGACCCCGAUCACUUACGCCCACCAUGAUCACUACGACUCUGAGGGCCCGACCUCCGCUCCCUCGCUACAAGGGAAAACAAGUCGACAACUCAGACCUUCUUGAAGCCAUCGAUCACGCCGACCACAAGCUUCUUGAAGUCUCCAACCAGGUGGAUUUGAUUCCAUGCAAGCUUGAUCCAGCACUAGUAUCGAGUUUUUUCAAUUCCCAUCGACCAACUCGUGCCACCACGCACGAACGACUGGGGACGUCCUUGACGAUAACGUCAACCACAAGGGGGUGGAUUGUUAAGCUCAAGACAGCCUCACCAGAAGAGAACUUUCCUCAUGGUCUGAGUAACGCGGGCGAUUAGGUCUCACGGCAUACCCAAUCCCUAUUCGCGAAGAUGGGAUUGUCGCCGGAGCAAACCAGGUGGACAGCUCGUCACUUUGUCAAUAUGGUAUCCAUCUGCACUCUGCUAGAAGACAAGGCCACCAGUACAAACUCUAGCACAGGGUCUGUCCCUAUCGAGGUUUUACAUCCCGAGGACGAAGACUACGACCUAGAUCUGUCGCUCUACCCCUGGGUUUUUCCUACUUUCCAAUCUUUCCACCUUGACGAGGAGAUCUGGUCUUCAACGUCAGCAAUGACAAACCAAUUGUCGAUGGCAAAACCGACGAACAAAGACAGCAGCGCGAACAGCGCAACGCCGAUCGUGCUCAGCGACGAGCAGAUGAGGAGAGGCAAUUAAUCCCAAACAACCUUGAUGAUGCUUUCGACAUGGUUGGAAAUCAGCAAGUGUUCAAGACACCAAGUGCCAACGUGGCCGUCACCAUGGCAAAUCUCGAUCGACUUCCAGAUACUCCAGAAUAUCAGGACGUUCGAACCAGCAUACGAGCGCAUCUCAUCGCUGCCAUGGGACAGACCGCUACUCUGCUCAAAAAGGUCCAAGCCGUCUCCUAUACGGAGGUCACCUCUGACCAGACACAUCGCAGCCUAACCUCACCGCGACCCGGCGGACACCGUCUUAGCCAUUCACCUAUCAAUGAUCAAAGGAAGGACACCCAUCGCGACAAUCAUGGUCGGGACGCUGGCAGUUACCACGAGCAAAGACGUGGACAUGGUUAGGAGGUGAACCAAGACCGGGACCACGACAAAACCUCCCUACUAGUUAUGCCCGUGAGCACAUCAACAGGCGUAUUACUGAUACAGUAGUACACAAAAAUGUGCGACGCAUCGUGUAUGAUGCAGCCCACGGCCCCCCAGGCCUAAGACAAUUCUCCUCACACCUUCGGCAGGUCGUAUGGCCCCACAAUUUCAAGCUUGAGAAGCUUAAAAAGUACGACGGCAAGGAGAAUCCCAAAAACUGGAUCACUCUUUAUGAGAUCGUAGUUCGAUCAGCAGCAGGAGACGAGCACGUCAUGGCAAACUAUUUCCCAAUCGUCCUUGACCAAGCUGGCCACCAAUGGCUCCUCGGUCUACCCGAGGACUCUUUUGAUUCUUGGGAGGAAUUGCGCCAGGCAUUCGAUAACUUCAUUGCUACCUGCGAGCAGCCUGGAAAUAAAUACGACCUUGAGAGGAUAAGGGACAGGAAGAAUGAGCCCCUACGCGACUACAUCCGAUGCUUCUCGGAUAUGCGCUGUUGGGUAUUCUUAACAUCAUUACCAAAAGUAGACUAAGUUCUCUAAAUCUAGUAACGGUGCCAAAAAUGCCAAACCUAUCCCUCACACCACUUAAGCCAAGUUGUCAUCUCCAGCAUGAUAUAAGAGACGCGGUAUUGAAAUAUGCAAUUGCUCUUCUAAAUAAAUAAUGAAUGGGAUCUGCAAGCGCACAGAUUAAUACCGAUGUAGCAUUUUAACCGGGAAGUAUUCCAGGUAUCGUUAUUUAUAUUUUUACCACUGGGAAGGGAUUAGCAAUCAUCAAUAUUGAUUACAGAAUAGAAUAUGAGAUUGAGCAUCUAUCAUUGCAUGUAUAAUUGAGAACAUUAUAUCUAACUCUUCAUACAGGGAUAAGUGUCACAUGAAAGAUAUAUGAAAUAAUAAUAGUGACAAGGAUAACUAAUCUGAUCUAGCCACAUAAUAAAUAUGAUAAGCACCUCAAUUAGAUACUCUAGAAAGUCAUUAGCAUGGUAUUAGAAUGAACUACAAGAAUAUUCCCUAAGUUAUUCUCAACUAUAUAGUCUAGCAUUAUCAUAGUUAGUGCAAGCAUACUUAGCAAUCAUUGUGAGACAAGACUACGCCCAUGCAUAGUGAUAUUAGCAAGGUAAAUGAGAAACAUAGCAAUCACUCCCCUGUAAUAAUGUUGCUCUGCCAGCCCAAUACACGAGAGGGGGACUAUAUAAGAAUCAAUGAAGCUGUCACUAUCACGAACCACCCCACGAUCUGGCAUAUUGGGUACAAUCGCAGAUAAAUACGGUAUAAGCACCACGCCUACACAAUAUCUAUCAUUUACCCAUGGAUCCGAUGGAUAAACGCUAUACGAUCCUAAGCAUGUAUAUAGAUCGAAUCUAACUAAGCCAAGUACAUAACUAUGAUAAACUAAGAACAAUAUAAUCUUGAAUAUAAGCAAGUAGAGCAAAGUCAUAAGCAAUAUAUUGAAGUAGAACAAAGUCAUAUUCAUAAUAUUGAAGAACAAAGAUAAUUAGAAGAACAAUUAGAAGCACAAUUAGAGAAUUACCAAGAAUCCUCUUGACAGAUCCGGAAACCAACCAAAGAUUGACUCCUUCUAGUUCUAAUCCUAUGUAGCUAUGCUAAUCUAGAUAUCUAAUUGAUGUGGUGGCUCUAAUCUUGAUCAGAGGCUUCUUCUCCCUUGAAGAACAAUGAAUUAGGGUUGAGAGGCUCUCUCCUCCAGGGGCCAGGGGGUCUGGUUUUAUAGUCCCUUCAAGUGAAUAUGGGCCAUUGGAUCAAACCGACAUAGAUUGUAUGGUUUAGAUUCAUCCUUUAGGUCGGUGGAGGUCUCCCGCGAAGCAGAGUCCUGAUUGGACUCCUGGAGAGGGCGGGCGCCCUGACCAACUGGUCGGGCGCCCAGGGUCUGGCCCCGUUUCGCCUCCGCUUCGGUCUCGUGGCUUCUGGAGUCUUCUAGAUGUAAGAUAAUUGCGCGGCAUGUUAACAUCUCUAUGUAAUCCCGACGUGUGGGCCUUUCUUCCAUAUUUCCUGAUAACCCCCUGCAGAAAUAGACAAACACCAAAACUCCCCCAAGCUUACCUCUUGCUCGUCCCUGAGCGAGGAUAGACUCAGCUAUGGAUCAUAAGUUGUUGCAAUAUUUUUAAAAAUUUGACGGUACACAUGCUUUUAAAUAAGAUCUCUUCUCUGAGUUAGAGUAAACUGUCAAGACUUAAAACUUACUUACUUUACCUUCACCAUGGGACUUGUAACCGUCACUUCUAUCUUGAGUGGUUAAAAGAUAGAAUAGUCUAGUCAAGUGCCAUGUCUCUUAUUCUUGAUCAGCUAUAGCUCUAGGGUUUUUGCAGAUUUUCAAAUAAAACUCAGAGAUUCCUUGUAUGAUUCUCUCAGAUCUCUCUUUUGUGGUAUUUCUAGAUCCUUACCAAGGCAGUGAUGGUAUAUGCCUUCUCUCAAUAUAUGUGGUAUUUGUGGUAUAAAGCAUAGUGACAUUGCCUUCUCUCUCACCCUACUCUAAUAAGGCUUUAAUAUCUGGAGCUCAUAGAUGGGAGAUAAAGUAUACAUACUUACAAGACAUGUAUUGCAUAGUCAAACCAUGGAUCCAAAGAAACAAGCCAAUGAGUUUAAUCAAGAUGUGCAUGUGUGGCGAAUGAAUGAUGUAUGGUGAUGAUGGUGAUAACAAUGGUGGUGGAAGUCUAAUUCUACUUUGCUCUUUUGAGGGGAUACAUACCUUUCUUGUUUUUUUGAAACUUUAUGAGGAGAAUGAGAUGCUCUUCUUUUUCUUUUCUCUCAGGUGGGUAUCUUGCACCCCUAAUUCUACUGUCGGACACUUGUCCAUUUUUACCUCUCGUCUCACUCUCUUUUCUAUCGAGGUUCCGAGCACUUGCUCCUUUUUAUUUCCUCGUAUUUCUCUCUCUUUUUCUUUCCAGAGCAUUCAUCUCUUGAGAUAAUAUAGCAAGUGGUAGUAACAAGAUAACUUGUGCAUUUAUUUCACAAGGAAAAACAGAAAUAUUUUUGGCUAUUCUCUCCCGGAUUAGGAGUAGAAUAUUUUUGGGUGAUUCUGGAGAUGGAAUGGGUGGAUAUAUGUGGAUGGUACUUCCGGAAUAGAAGUAGCAUAUAUGAGUGAACGUGCAAGUGAAUCUUGAUUUAACCACAUGACAAAUUCCUAAGGGUCUACACAGCUUGACCACAAUCAAUGCUCAUAAGCAGUAAAUAGUAAAUGUGUGGCUCAAAGUCUAGCAAGCAUGUAUAUAUUGCUGUGGUAGGAAUUUAAACUCUCAUCAUACAGGAACUCAUCAUGCAACACUUUAAAGAUUUUUUAAAAGAUAAAAUUCUCCAGAAUUCUAGCAUCUCUAGGAACAGAUAAACAGCAGCUCAACCUUCCCAUAUCGUAUCCGUUAACAACUUAGACUUCAGAUCAAGUUUUCAUCCCACAAGUUUAGGUCUAGAGCAAGCUUUAAAUUAUAACAGUUAUAUCUAAACUUGAGAGAGAAUUUAAAAUGUGCAAAUUAGGCAGAGCAACUAUUCAUCAUUUCUAUGCUUAAGUUUUAUUUAGAUACAGAUUAGCAUAGCCACUUUAUUUAUUUAUUAAACACACUAAGCCAAAGACAUAUAUAUAAGCAUAAAAUAUUUAUUUGGUUUUUCAUAGUUUAUGUAUUUUAAUAUUCUAAUAUAGUAUAAGUAUAAAGAUAGAUAGAUAGAUAGAUAGAAAUACUUAUCGGGAUAAAUGGGGGUGCUCUCCCCCAAGCUGAAUUUUGACGUAAUUUCUCUUGAUGUAGCUAACAGGUGGCAGAGGUGUAUUUGAAAGUCAGCAGUAUUCUGAUAGCGAUUAGAAUGUCCUCCGUCUGCUAGUCUUCUUGAUUCUUAAAUUCUGUGGAGCUCAAAUUGACAACAAAGCUUGUGGAACUGAUUAAGUGUUAGCAUAAAUAUCUAGCCUUUAUCAUGUUGAGACUCCUUAAUAAUUAUUACUCCAUGUUUUUAUAUUUUUUUUUAUUUUAUAAAGCAGAAAAGAAAUAUUUAUUUUAUUUUUAUACCACCACAGUGAAUGUACUUAUGGGUUUUAUGCCACUCGCAUACUCACAUGGGGCUUACUGUUUUUCGCAUUUUUAUUUUCUUUUAUUUUUAAGAUAGUAUGAACAUGAUUAACUAAGUAAACUAGUUGAAAUAAUUGAAAGGGAAAGGAUAACUACCAAGUUUAUCUCUCGGCAAGGCGUUCGGUGUUUUCAAGUCCUCCGAACGGGACUCUCCAUUUUCUUAAUCGUCCUGAGGUUCGUUGGGUGGCGUAGUCGGUACUUCCGGUGGCGCCUCCUCUUCAUGUAUAGUUAUCUUCAUUUUCCACACCUGACUUGGUGCUUCAGUCUCCUCUGGAUAAUUCUGUUUAAACUCUACGUCUUCUGACCUUAUAACUUCUCCUUCAUAGUCUGCCCAUCCGUCCUUGAUGAUCUGCCUCCUCUGGUUGCGGUUGCGUCUUUUCCUUACCUGCUUAGAUUCUUCAAUGAUAUAGUUAGGGUCAGUAAAAUAACGGCGUACCUUCUCUGAGGGGAAGUGCAUAUGGACUUCUCCGGUUCCAAUGUAGAUAAUUGCUUUAACGGUGCUGAGGAACGGUCUUCCAAGGAUGAUGGGUGGAUCAUACUAAUCUUCUCCCAAGUCAAUAACUUGAAAGUCUGUGUAGACAAAGUGAUCGUCUAUUUUGACUGGGACAUCAGUUACUGUUCCUUUAACUUCUCGAAAUGUCUGAUCUGCCAUCUGGAGCUGAAUGUAUGUUGGUCUUAGGGGCAUGGUUUCGAAGAAGAGCCGAUAGGUGACUGCGGCCAUUAUGUUGACGCCCGAUCCGGUGUCACAAGUUGCCUUGUAGAAGUUGUAUCCAUUGAUGGAGCAAUAGAUGCUUGGCAUUCCUGGGUCGUCCUUCUUGGUCAAAAGCGGUGACUUAAGUUGGUGAUCUUGGCCUCCAUGAACUACAGUGACCAUCUUAGCUGACUCGGUCCACACUUGCUUGUUCCUGUUCCUCCUGUUGGUCCUCUUCCUUGAUUGACGUCUGGAUUGAUCUGGAAUUUGUGUAGUCUUGUUCUUGAAGAAAAAUGUCUCCUUCUUCCCUUUGACGUAGAAACUGAUCUUAGCAGCACUGGCGUAGAUGAUAGCUCCCGUGGUGUUCAAGAAUGGCCUCCCUAAGAUGAUAGGUGCUCUCUCAUCAUUUCCGGUCUCUACCACUACGAAGUCUGCUGGGGCAUAUAAGGUACCAACUCGGAUAAAAAGGUUCUUCACUAUUCCUUUUGGAAAAGUUAUCGUCUGAUCUGCAAACUGCAAACACAUGGUUGUUUCUAAUAAAGGAUAUGUAAAGAAUUUUUCAUAGAGUACCCUGGGUAUAAUGUUGACACUGGAGCCAAAGUCGCAGAGUGCUUCUGGAACGUCCACCAUGCCGAUAGAGAUCGGGAUGACGGGGCGUCCUGGAUCGCCUCUCUUGACCGGCAGAAGGUCAGUAGAAAAUUCAGUGGCGGGGUUACUCCAAUUACCUGCAUCAAACAUGUCUACAAGAUUUGCAGAUUCUAAUCCUUCCGGUUGUGAUGGUAUACCGGGGUUAGUAGUAGGAACAGCAGCAGCUAUUUGAUUUAACUGAGAUUCAAUCAUUUUAUUAAAGCUAAUUUGAUUCUUGAUGGCAGUAGAGAAAUUAUCCAUUCUAUUAUUUUUAUUUUCUAGCAUUUUAUCAUUAGAUGCCAAUUUCUUAGAUAAAUUAUCCGUUAGCUUUCCUUGAUUAGACACUAACUCUCUCAAAGGUGGAAAAUUAUUAGCAUUAUUGUUGUAAGAAUUAUUACCUUGAUAAUUACCUGAGUAGUUAGGCCUCUGUUGAUUCCAACCUUGAUUUUGUUGAGGACGGUUGUAGUAGUAGUUGUUGUUGUUGUUGAUGUAGUUCACAUCCUCAAGCAUCUCAGGGCAGUGGUUGCCUGAGUGUCCAGUGUCUCCACACUCCUCACAAGUCAUGUGAGAGUCGUAGAUGUGCAUAACUUCCUUCUUAUCUCCAGCUCUAUCAUCGAGCUUCUUCAUGAGCAGGUCUAGCUUUGCAGACAGCAUGUCUACCUCCUUGAGCUGAUGCAUACCUCCACCUCUCUUGCGUGUCUGGGUCCUCUCUUCAUUCCAGCUUUGGUUGGACGCCAUCUUCUCCACAAGAGCUGUGGCUUGUGGUAUUGUAAGUGAUAAGAAUGCUCCUCCAGCUGCAGCAUCCAUGGUCUCUCGGGCACUGUUGCCGAGCCCAUGAUAAAACAUCUGCAUCAAUAGCCAACUCUCCAUUCCAUGAUGGGGACAUUCUAGGAUGUAGUCUUGAAAGCGCUCCCAUGCUUCUGGAACAGAUUCAUCAUUUUGUUGCUGAAAACUUGUAAUCUUCCCACGGAGAGCAUUGGUCUUGCCCAUGGGAAAGAACUUAGCCAGAAAGUUUGUUGAGCAGAGUGCCCACGUAGUAUUCGUCUCCUUUGUAGCGUAAAACCACUGCUUCGCUCUUCCUAACAGUGAGAAUGGGAAGAGGCGAAGUAGUAUAGCAUCUUUGGAAACUCCUGAUACGGUGAAUGUGUUGCAAAUCUCCAGGAAGUGUUGUAAAUGAGCACUAGCAUCUUCGUGUGCCUUCCCACAGAACUGGUUGGAUUGCACCAUGUUGAUAAGUCCAGGCUUGAGCUCAAAGUUGCCAUCGAUCUCUGCAGCAGGUCCAGUGCGGAUGUUGUCCGUAGUGGGAGCUGAGAACUCGCGGAUUGAUUUGUUCGCCAUGGCUUCGAACUCUGAAGACAAGUUCCGGUAAUCUUCUUGAUUGGAUGAAGCUUCUUGCUGAAGUGUUGAUGAUCUCUUCUUGAGCUUGGCUCUCGUCUUCUUGAAUAAUGCUUCGGGAUUGUCAACAAAAUUUCCUGGAAGAUGUCUUCUAUUCAUACAUUCCCCUACAUAAGAUGAAAUAGGAAAAUAUAGGGGUAAAACUGUAUGAGAGAAUAGAUAAGCUCAAUCAUAUUAGUGAUGCGAAUGAUAACUCAAAAUCUUUUAUUCCAUUCCUGAUUAGUAAUCAACCUUCCCCGGCAACGGCGCCAAAAAUGCUUGUUGGGUUUUCUUAACAUCAUUACCAAAAGUAGACUAAGUUCUCUAAAUCUAGUAACGGUGCCAAAAAUGCCAAACCUAUCCCUCACACCACUUAAGCCAAGUUGUCAUCCCCAGCAUGAUAUAAGAGACGCGGUAUUGAAAUAUGCAAUUGCUCUUCUAAAUAAAUAAUGAAUGGGAUCUGCAAGCGCACAGAUUAAUACCGAUGUAGCAUUUUAACCGGGAAGUAUUCCAGGUAUCGUUAUUUAUAUUUUUACCACUGGGAAGGGAUUAGCAAUCAACAAUAUUGAUUACAGAAUAGAAUAUGAGAUUGAGCAUCUAUCAUUGCAUGUAUAAUUGAGAACAUUAUAUCUAACUCUUCAUACAGGGAUAAGUGUCACAUGAAAGAUAUAUGAAAUAAUAAUAGUGACAAGGAUAACUAAUCUAAUCUAGCCACAUAAUAAAUAUGAUAAGCACCUCAAUUAGAUACUCUAGAAAGUCAUUAGCAUGGUAUUAGAAUGAACUACAAGAAUAUUCCCUAAGUUAUUCUCAACUAUAUAGUCUAGCAUUAUCAUAGUUAGUGCAAGCAUACUUAGCAAUCAUUGUGAGACAAGACUACGCCCAUGCAUAGUGAUAUUAGCAAGGUAAAUGAGAAACAUAGCAAUCACUCCCCUGUAAUAAUGUUGCUCUGCCAGCCCAAUACACGAGAGGGGGACUAUAUAAGAAUCAAUGAAGCUGUCACUAUCACGAACCACCCAUUGGGUACAAUCGCAGAUAAAUACGGUAUAAGCACCACGCCUACACAAUAUCUAUCAUUUACCCAUGGAUCUGAUGGAUAAACGCUAUACGAUCCUAAGCAUGUAUAUAGAUCGAAUCUAACUAAGCCAAGUACAUAACUAUGAUAAACUAAGAACAAUAUAAUCUUGAAUAUAAGCAAGUAGAGCAAAGUCAUAAGCAAUAUAUUGAAGUAGAACAAAGUCAUAUUCAUAAUAUUGAAGAACAAAGAUAAUUAGAAGAACAAUUAGAAGCACAAUUAGAGAAUUACCAAGAAUCCUCUUGAAAGAUCCGGAAACCAAUCGAAGAUUGACUCCUUCUAGUUCUAAUCCUAUGUAGCUAUGCUAAUCUAGAUAUCUAAUUGAUGUGGUGGCUCUAAUCUUGAUCAGAGGCUUCUUCUCCCUUGAAGAACAAUGAAUUAGGGUUGAGAGGCUCUCUCCUCCAGGGGCCAGGGGGUCUGGUUUUAUAGUCCCUUCAAGUGAAUAUGGGCCAUUGGAUCAAACCGACAUAGAUUAUAUGGUUUAGAUUCAUCCUUUAGGUCGGUGGAGGUCUCCCGCGAAGCAGAGUCCUGAUUGGACUCCUGGAGAGGACGGGCGCCCCGACCAACUGGGCGGGCGCCCAGGGUCUGGCCCCGUUUCGCCUCCGCUUCGGUCUCGUGGCUUCUGGAGUCUUCUAGAUGUAAGAUAAUUGCGCGGCACGUUAACAUCUCUAUGUAAUCCCGACGUGUGGGCCUUUCUUCCGUAUUUCCUGAUAACCCCCUGCAGAAAUAGACAAACACCAAAACUCGUGGAAUUCUGUCAGAUAAAACCCUAAGUCUAGAUGUUGAUUUCAUUUGGAUCCUUUUCUUUGUUUAUUUAAUAAUUAAAUUUGAUACUUAAGGACCGUCAACAAACUCCCCCAAGCUUACCUCUUGCUCGUCCCUGAGCGAGGAUAGACUCAGCUAUGGAUCAUAAGUUGUUGCAAUAUUUUUAAAAAUUUGACGGUACACAUGCUUUUAAAUAAGAUCUCAUCUCUGAGUUAGAGUAAACUGUCAAGACUUAAAACUUACUUACUUUACCUUCACCAUGGGACUUGUAACCGUCACUUCUAUCUUGAGUGGUUAAAAGAUAGAACAGUCUAGUCAAGUGCCAUGUCUCUUAUUCUUGAUCAGCUAUAGCUCUGGGGUUUUUGCAGAUUUUCAAAUAAAACUCAGAGAUUCCUUGUAUGAUUCUCUCAGAUCUCUCUUUUGUGGUAUUUCUGGAUCCUUACCAAGGCAGUGAUGGUAUAUGCCUUCUCUCAAUAUAUGUGGUAUUUGUGGUAUAAAGCAUAGUGACAUUGCCUUCUCUCUCACCCUACUCUAAUAAGGCUUUAAUAUCUGGAGCUCAUAGGUGGGAGAUAAAGUAUACAUACUUACAAGACAUGUAUUGCAUAGUCAAACCAUGGAUCCAAAGAAACAAGCCAAUGACUUUAAUCAAGAUGUGCAUGUGUGGUGAAUGAAUGAUGUAUGGUGAUGAUGGUGAUAAUAAUGGUGGUGGAAGUCUAAUUCUACUUUGCUCUUUUGAGGGGAUACAUACCUUUCUUGCUUUUUUGAAACUUUAUGAGGAGAAUGAGAUGCUCUUCUUUUUCUUUUCUCUCAGGUGGGUAUCUUGCACCCCUAAUUCUACUGUCGGACACUUGUCUAUUUUUACCUCUCGUCUCACUCUCUUUUCUUUCGAGGUUCCGAGCAGUUGCUCCUUUUUAUUUCCUCGUAUUUCUCUCUCUCUUUUUUCAGAGCAUUCAUCUCUUGAGAUAAUAUAGCAAGUGGUAGUAACAAUAUAACUUGAGCAUUUAUUUUACAAGGAAAAACAGAAAUAUUUUUGGCUAUUCUCUCCAGGAUUAGGAGUAGAAAAUUUUUGGGUGAUUCUGGAGAUGGAAUGGGUGGAUAUAUGUGGAUGGUACUUCCGGAAUAGAAGUAGCAUAUAUGAGCGAACGUGCAAGUGAAUCUUGAUUUAACCACAUGACAAAUUCCUAAGGGUCUACACAGCUUGACCACACUCAAUGCUCAUAAGCAGUAAAUAGUAAAUGUGUGGCUCAAAGUCUAGCAAGCAUGUAUAUAUGGCUGUGGUAGGAAUUUAAACUCUCAUCAUACAGGAACUCAUCAUGCAACACUUUAAAGAUUUUUUAAAAGAUAAAAUUCUCCAGAAUUCUAGCAUCUCUAGGAACAGAUAAACAGCAGCUCAACCUUCCCAUAUCGUAUCCGUUAACAACUUAGACUUCAGAUCAAGUUUUCAUCCCACAAGUUUAGGUCUAGAGCAAGCUUUAAAUUAUAACAGUUAUAUCUAAACUUGAGAGAGAACUUAAAAUGUGCAAAUUAGGCAGAGCAACUAUUCAUCAUUUCCAUGCUUAAGUUUUAUUUAGAUACAGAUUAGCAUAGCCACUUUAUUUAUUUAUAAACACACUAAGCAAAAGACAUAUAUAUAAGCAUAAAAUAUUUAUUUGGUUUUUCAUAGUUUAUGUAUUUUAAUAUUCUAAUAUAGUAUAAGUAUAAAGAUAGAUAGAUAGAUAGAUAGAAAUACUUAUCGGGAUAAAUGGGGGUGCUCUCCCCCAAGUUGAAUUUUGACGUAAUUUCUCCUGAUGUAGCUAGCAGGUGGCAGAGGUGUAUUUGAAAGUCAGCAGUAUUCUGACAGCGAUUAGAAUGUCCUCCGUCUGCUAGUCUUCUUGAUUCUUAAAUUCUGUAGAGCUCAAAUUGACAACAAAGCUUGUGGAACUGAUUAAGUGUUAGCAUAAAUAUCUAGCCUUUAUCAUGUUGAGACUCCUUAAUAAUUAUUACUCCAUGUUUUUAUAUUUUUUUUUAUUUUAUAAAGCAGAAAAGAAAUAUUUAUUUUAUUUUUAUGCCACCACAGUGAAUGUACUUAUGGGUUUUAUGCCACUCGCAUACUCACAUGGGGCUUACUGUUUUUCGCAUUUUUAUUUUCUUUUAUUUUUAAGAUAGUACGAACAUGAUUAACUAAGUAAACUAGUUGAAAUAAUUGAAAGGGAAAGGAUAACUACCAAGUUUAUCUCUCGGCAAGGCGUUCGGUGUUUUUAAGUCCUCCGAACGGGACUCUCCAUUUUCUUAAUCGUCCUGAGGUUCGUUGGGUGGCGUAGUCGGUACUUCCGGUGGCGCCUCCUCUUCAUGUAUAGUUAUCUUCAUUUUCCACACCUGACUUGGUGCUUCAGUCUCCUCUGGAUAAUUCUGUUUAAACUCUACGUCUUCUGACCUUAUAACUUCUCCUUCAUAGUCUGCCCAUCCGUCCUUGAUGAUCUGCCUCCUCUGGUUGCGGUUGCGUCUUUUCCUUACCUGCUUAGAUUCUUCAAUGAUAUAGUUAGGGUCAGUAAAAUAACGGCGUACCUUCUCUGAGGGGAAGUGCAUAUGGACUUCUCCGGUUCCAAUGUAGAUAAUUGCUUUAACGGUGCUGAGGAACGGUCUUCCAAGGAUGAUGGGUGGAUCAUACUAAUCUUCUCCCAAGUCAAUAACUUGAAAGUCUGUGUAGACAAAGUGAUCGUCUAUUUUGACUGGGACAUCAGUUACUGUUCCUUUAACUUCUCGAAAUGUCUGAUCUGCCAUCUGGAGCUGAAUGUAUGUUGGUCUUAGGGGCAUGGUUUCGAAGAAGAGCCGAUAGGUGACUGCGGCCAUUAUGUUGACGCCCGAUCCGGUGUCACAAGUUGCCUUGUAGAAGUUGUAUCCAUUGAUGGAGCAAUAGAUGCUUGGCAUUCCUGGGUCGUCCUUCUUGGUCAAAAGCGGUGACUUAAGUUGGUGAUCUUGGCCUCCAUGAACUACAGUGACCAUCUUAGCUGACUCGGUCCACACUUGCUUGUUCCUGUUCCUCCUGUUGGUCCUCUUCCUUGAUUGACGUCUGGAUUGAUCUGGAAUUUGUGUAGUCUUGUUCUUGAAGAAAAAUGUCUCCUUCUUCCCUUUGACGUAGAAACUGAUCUUAGCAGCACUGGCGUAGAUGAUAGCUCCCGUGGUGUUCAAGAAUGGCCUCCCUAAGAUGAUAGGUGCUCUCUCAUCAUUUCCGGUCUCUACCACUACGAAGUCUGCUGGGGCAUAUAAGGUACCAACUCGGACACAAAGGUUCUUCACUAUUCCUUUUGGAAAAGUUAUCGUCUGAUCUGCAAACUGCAAACACAUGGUUGUUUCUAAUAAAGGAUAUGUAAAGAAUUUUUCAUAGAGUACCCUGGGUAUAAUGUUGACACUGGAGCCAAAGUCGCAGAGUGCUUCUGGAACGUCCACCAUGCCGAUAGAGAUCGGGAUGACGGGGCGUCCUGGAUCGCCUCUCUUGACCGGCAGAAGGUCAGUAGAAAAUUCAGUGGCGGGGUUACUCCAAUUACCUGCAUCAAACAUGUCUACAAGAUUUGCAGAUUCUAAUCCUUCCGGUUGUGAUGGUAUACCGGGGUUAGUAGUAGGAACAGCAGCAGCUAUUUGAUUUAACUGAGAUUCAAUCAUUUUAUUAAAGCUAAUUUGAUUCUUGAUGGCAGUAGAGAAAUUAUCCAUUCUAUUAUUUAUAUUUUCUAGCAUUUUAUCAUUAGAUGCCAAUUUCUUAGAUAGAUUAUCCGUUAGC